This 82-nucleotide transfer RNA is filed under the name Echinostoma caproni. It matches the Rfam family "tRNA". Rfam says of the family: Transfer RNA (tRNA) molecules are approximately 80 nucleotides in length. The record is from Rfam by way of RNAcentral. Lineage: Eukaryota; Metazoa; Platyhelminthes; Trematoda; Plagiorchiida; Echinostomatidae.
GGCCUCGUAGCUCAGCUGGUAGAGCAUGCGCGUACAAAGCGUAGGCGGUGUUCAUGCGUGGGUUCGAAUCCCACCGAGGCUA